This 255-nucleotide ribosomal RNA is filed under the name Clostridioides difficile. RNAcentral's name for it is "partial 23S ribosomal RNA". It matches the Rfam family "Bacterial large subunit ribosomal RNA", at positions 2624 to 2881 of the family's 2925-position model. Lineage: Bacteria; Bacillati; Bacillota; Clostridia; Peptostreptococcales; Peptostreptococcaceae. The record is from RNAcentral.
AGACAGUUCGGUCCCUAUCCGUCGCAGGCGUAGGAAAUUUGAGAAGACCUGUCCUUAGUACGAGAGGACCGGGAUGGACGUACCUCUGGUGUACCAGUUGUCCUGCCAAGGGCAUGGCUGGGUAGCUGUGUACGGAAUGGAUAAGCGCUGAAAGCAUCUAAGCGCGAAGCCAACUUCAAGAUAAGAUUUCCCACCGCAAGGGUAAGACCCCAGAAAGACUAUCUGGUUGAUAGGUCGAAGGUGUAAGUGCAGCAA